This 248-nucleotide ribosomal RNA is filed under the name Pycnococcus provasolii. RNAcentral describes it as "partial Bacterial small subunit ribosomal RNA". It matches the Rfam family "Bacterial small subunit ribosomal RNA", at positions 837 to 1064 of the family's 1533-position model. The record is from RNAcentral. Lineage: Eukaryota; Viridiplantae; Chlorophyta; Pseudoscourfieldiophyceae; Pseudoscourfieldiales; Pycnococcaceae.
CUGUCGGUGACGCAGCUAACGCAUUAAGCACUCCGCCUGGGGAGUACGGUCGCAAGAUUAAAACUCAAAGGAAUUGACGGGGGCUCACACAAGCGGUGGAGCAUGUGGCUUAAUUCGAGGCUACGCGAAGAACCUUAUCCUGGGCUUGACAUGUGCGAAAGCGGCAGCAGGUAGGACCCGGAAACGGGAACGAACGGUAUCCAACCCGGAAGCUGCCACAGGUGCUGCAUGGCUGUCGUCAGCUCGUG